This 318-nucleotide long non-coding RNA is filed under the name Salvia miltiorrhiza (redroot sage). RNAcentral's name for it is "long non-coding RNA (SMIL_LNC010683)". The record is from RNAcentral. Lineage: Eukaryota; Viridiplantae; Streptophyta; Magnoliopsida; Lamiales; Lamiaceae.
CGGUUGUGACCCUUUGCGGUCCCGUCUUUAGUUCGUUCUUGUUGUUUUCUUUCUCUUUUCGCUUGGGUUUUUUUGUCUUUUUUCUAUUUUUGGUUUUUCCGGUCUGUUCCUUGUUUGCGCCUGUGCUCUCAAGGGUUUUUGUUUUUCUUCAAUAAAAUUUCUAUUUCAGCAGCAUAAGGGAUUUAUCUAAAAGCCUUAUGUUCGCUAAACCCAUUUUCAUUUUUCAAAGUUGUCUGCGCAGACUUUCUCAUCAAGUAAGUAUCAUCUCUAUUAACUCAUGUACUGAGAGGGAGGCCUCCCUCUGCAGCACUGUAAUCG